This 253-nucleotide ribosomal RNA is filed under the name uncultured bacterium. Its description in RNAcentral is "partial 16S ribosomal RNA". It matches the Rfam family "Bacterial small subunit ribosomal RNA", at positions 524 to 776 of the family's 1533-position model. The record is from RNAcentral.
UACGUAGGGUGCGAGCGUUAAUCGGAAUUACUGGGCGUAAAGCGUGCGUAGGCGGUUCGUUAAGUUCGUUGUGAAAGCCCCGGGCUCAACCUGGGAAUGGCAAUGGAAACUGGCGGGCUGGAGUAUGGCAGAGGGGGGUGGAAUUCCGCGUGUAGCAGUGAAAUGCGUAGAGAUGCGGAGGAACACCGAUGGCGAAGGCAGGUCUCUGGGCUGACACUGACGCUCAUGCACGAAAGCGUGGGGAGCAAACAGG